This 482-nucleotide ribosomal RNA is filed under the name uncultured bacterium. RNAcentral describes it as "partial 16S ribosomal RNA". It matches the Rfam family "Bacterial small subunit ribosomal RNA", at positions 28 to 507 of the family's 1533-position model. The record is from RNAcentral.
GACGAACGCUGGCGGCGUGCUUAACACAUGCAAGUCGAACGAUGAAGCAGAGAAACGCGCACUUCGGUUCAAAUUUCACUUCGGAUUAGUGGCAGACGGGUGAGUAACGCGUGAGCAACCUACCUCUUACAAAGGGAUAGCCUCGGGAAACCGUGAUUAAUACCAUAUGACACAUUCAUAAGGCAUCUUAAGAAUGUUAAAGCUACGGCGGUAAGAGAUGGGCUCGCGUCCCAUUAGCUAGUUGGUGAGGUAACGGCCCACCAAGGCGACGAUGGGUAACCGGCCUGAGAGGGUGAACGGUCACAUUGGAACUGAGACACGGUCCAAACUCCUACGGGAGGCAGCAGUGGGGAAUAUUGCACAAUGGAGGGAACUCUGGUGCAGCGACGCCGCGUGAGCGAUGAAGGAAUUCGUGUCGUAAAGCUCUGUUCUAUGGGAAGAAAAGGACUGUACCAUAGGAGAAAGCCCCGGCUAAAUACGUG